CGCAUAUUGCGCCCUCCGGCACUCCGGGGGGCAUGCCUGUCCGAGCGUCGUUUCCCCUGCCCAGCGUGGGCUGGCUGCGAGCUUCGUGCUCGAUGAUGGGCCCCAUCGCUCUCGGGCGAUGGACUCUAAAGUGAGGGCAUGGGCGUCGAACCCUCAACCGCAGUAGAACAUUCCGGUUUGGAAGGGACGGCGCUGGUGCCGGGUCUCUUCGAGACGGCGUGCUGCAGCGAUGCCACGCCGGCGGGGUGCCCGUCAGCACUCCAGAGUUCGACCUCGGAUCAGGUAGGGAUACCCGCUGAACUUAA
RNAcentral lists this unclassified non-coding RNA (305 nucleotides) under Wynnea americana. RNAcentral describes it as "partial contains 5.8S ribosomal RNA, internal transcribed spacer 2, and large subunit ribosomal RNA". Lineage: Eukaryota; Fungi; Ascomycota; Pezizomycetes; Pezizales; Sarcoscyphaceae. The record is from RNAcentral.